Molecule: long non-coding RNA, 742 nt
Filed under: Elaeis guineensis (African oil palm)
Lineage: Eukaryota; Viridiplantae; Streptophyta; Magnoliopsida; Arecales; Arecaceae
Description: long non-coding RNA (EGUI_LNC013994)
Source: RNAcentral
CCAUGCAGAUUUGAUUAUAUCCAGUGAAGGCACACAUGAAACUCAGAAGUCGGUGGCCAGAAAUUAUAUCAACCAAUUGAUCAAUCUUCGANAAUGAAAAGCUAUCCUUCGGACAAGCUACAUUCAGAUCAGUACAAUCGAUGCAGAUCCUCCGCUUCCCAUUGGCUUUUCUUACAUUACCAUAUUGGCAAGCUAGUCGGGAUAUAUAGCUUUUCUGAUAAAAUCUGCUGUGAUAUGUUUGUCGACUUCUUCAUCAAUGACCUUUUAUCUUUCAGGAGUAAAAGGUCACUUCUUCUAUCUCACUGGCUUAACACUUAGGUUGAUGUUAAGUCGGUGAGUUAUUAUUUCUGAAGAAAUCUCGAUCAUGUCGGUGGCCGAUCAAGUAAAAAUAUCAGCGUUGGCUCUGAGCAAUUUUAUUAGUUGUUGUCGCUCUGAGUUGGAUAAUUGUGAUCCAAUUUAGAUCAUUUUCUUCGGAUCUUCUUCUUUUAACGAGAUGGAAACCAGUUGUUUAGCCGAUUCACCCCUCCCUUGAUUUUUUCUUUGGUCCAAUUUAUCAACAGGCAAAGAGUCUUUAGAUUUAUUAUUUUGGGUGGAGACAAGGAAGUAAUGUUGGGCGAGUUGUUGAUCUCCACACAUCUCUUUGACUCCAUAUCUUGUCGAAAAUUAGACUAACAAAUGGUAUGUCGAAACCACUGCUCUCAGAGCGUUAAGCCCAGGUCGUCUGAGUAUGACAUUAUAAGCC